This 801-nucleotide ribosomal RNA is filed under the name Salmonella enterica subsp. enterica serovar Montevideo. Its description in RNAcentral is "partial 23S ribosomal RNA". It matches the Rfam family "Bacterial large subunit ribosomal RNA", at positions 568 to 1366 of the family's 2925-position model. Lineage: Bacteria; Pseudomonadati; Pseudomonadota; Gammaproteobacteria; Enterobacterales; Enterobacteriaceae. The record is from RNAcentral.
AAGCAGUGGGAGCACAGGUUUACCUGUGUGACUGCGUACCUUUUGUAUAAUGGGUCAGCGACUUAUAUUCUGUAGCAAGGUUAACCGAAUAGGGGAGCCGGAGGGAAACCGAGUCUUAAUUGGGCGUUAAGUUGCAGGGUAUAGACCCGAAACCCGGUGAUCUAGCCAUGGGCAGGUUGAAGGUUGGGUAACACUAACUGGAGGACCGAACCGACUAAUGUUGAAAAAUUAGCGGAUGACCUGUGGCUGGGGGUGAAAGGCCAAUCAAACCGGGAGAUAGCUGGUUCUCCCCGAAAGCUAUUUAGGUAGCGCCUCGUGAACUCAUCUCCGGGGGUAGAGCACUGUUUCGGCUAGGGGGCCAUCCCGGCUUACCAACCCGAUGCAAACUGCGAAUACCGGAGAAUGUUAUCACGGGAGACACACGGCGGGUGCUAACGUCCGUCGUGAAGAGGGAAACAACCCAGACCGCCAGCUAAGGUCCCAAAGUCAUGGUUAAGUGGGAAACGAUGUGGGAAGGCCCAGACAGCCAGGAUGUUGGCUUAGAAGCAGCCAUCAUUUAAAGAAAGCGUAAUAGCUCACUGGUCGAGUCGGCCUGCGCGGAAGAUGUAACGGGGCUAAACCAUGCACCGAAGCUGCGGCAGCGACGCUGAUGCGUUGUUGGGUAGGGGAGCGUUCUGUAAGCCUGCGAAGGUGGCCUGUGAGGGUUGCUGGAGGUAUCAGAAGUGCGAAUGCUGACAUAAGUAACGAUAAAGCGGGUGAAAAGCCCGCUCGCCGGAAGACCAAGGGUUCCUGUCCAACGUU